CAAGUUGUUUUUAGUAGAGUUAUUUAUAGAAUAUUUAUGAAAAAAUAAAAAUAAAAAGACGACACAGACUGGGGUUGAACUCAGUGCCUUCCGUCUACCAGUUGAAUGCUACUCUUACUACACCACUGCUUUGUUGUUUUAUUGUGCGUCAAAUAUUUUGAUUUUUUUAAACUUUACCUACAAAAUUACAACCAUCUAGUGCAUUUACUCCAUAGCUAAGCUAUUACAAAACAUAAUAGAAAAAGACUUCUGCACCGCUUCUGCACCGAAAAAAAUUUAUAUUACAAGAUCCACCAUUUAACAACGUUAUA
Molecule: long non-coding RNA, 311 nt
Organism: Lucilia cuprina (Australian sheep blowfly)
Lineage: Eukaryota; Metazoa; Arthropoda; Insecta; Diptera; Calliphoridae
Exons: 2
Source: RefSeq, a predicted model, not a curated record